Molecule: long non-coding RNA, 3753 nt
Organism: Salvelinus fontinalis (brook trout)
Lineage: Eukaryota; Metazoa; Chordata; Actinopteri; Salmoniformes; Salmonidae
Exons: 6
Source: RefSeq, a predicted model, not a curated record
CCGGCAGCAAAGUUGCCUGCGUUGUUUCUAGACGUGACGAAUUUAACGUAGGGCAAGUCACCGGUGCAUUUUAAACAUGGCAACCUGCACAGUGUUUGAAAAAGCAGGAUGCCAUCUCCUGAUGGAUGGUGGUCCAACAUACGAGAAGUGUCUCUCAGACUGCACCCAGACAUCUCCCUGUUAAGGAUCUAUGCUGCCGCAAAAAAAAAGUGGAUCCCUUUGUCAGCACAGUUUAUUUACCAUACUUUACCAUAAUUUACCAGAAGUCAACAAAGUUUCCGUUUUUACAGAGAAUCCUGAUCAAGCCCAGGAGAACGGAGCAGCGUGUGUGGGAGGAGCCGACAUUGUGCAGAGAAUCUUGGAUUAUGAAGUGGACUUCUACGUAGUGGCACUAGAUAUCAUCUACAAACUACUUCCUCUGAAGAACGAACUACGCAGAUAAGUUCCCCAAGAACAAGAGAGGGUCGGUUGGAGUCGACAUUCCCAAGAUGCUGGAGUUGUUCCAGACCUGCCAUGAGUAUAUAGUGGAGAAGGAACGCUGUCAUCACUAGGGUAGGAACGGUAAGUAUGAAGGAAUACUGUCAUCACUAGGGUAGGAACGGUAAGUAUGAAGGAAUACUGUCAUCACUAGAGUAGGAACGGUAAGUAUGAAGGAAUACUGUCAUCACUAGCGUAGGAUCGGUAAGUAUGAAGGAAUACUGUCAUCACUAGGGUAGGAACGGUAAGUAUGAAGGAAUACUGUCAUCACUAGCGUAGGAACGGUAAGUAUGAAGGAAUACUAUCAUCACUAGGGUAGGAACGGUAAGUAUGAAGGAAUACUGUCAUCACUAGCGUAGGAACGGUAAGUAUGAAGGAAUACUGUCAUCACUAGCGUAGGAACGGUAAGUAUGAAGGAAUACUGUCAUCACUAGCGUAGGAACGGUAAGUAUGAAGGAAUACUGUCAUCACUAGAGUAGGAACGGUAAGUAUGAAGGAAUACUGUCAUCACUAGCGUAGGAACGGUAAGUAUGAAGGAAUACUGUCAUCACUAGAGUAGGAACGGUAAGUAUGAAGGAAUACUGUCAUCACUAGCGUAGGAACGGUAAGUAUGAAGGAAUACUGUCAUCACUAGCGUAGGAACGGUAAGUAUGAAGGAAUACUAUCAUCACUAGAGUAGGAACGGUAAGUAUGAAGGAAUACUGUCAUCACUAGCGUAGGAACGGUAAGUAUGAAGGAAUACUGUCAUCACUAGCGUAGGAACGGUAAGUAUGAAGGAAUACUAUCAUCACUAGGGUAGGAACGGUAAGUAUGAAGGAAUACUGUCAUCACUAGAGUAGGAACGGUAAGAAUGAAGGAAUACUGUCAUCACUAGGGUAGGAACGGUAAGUAUGAAGGAAUACUGUCAUCACUAGCGUAGGAUCGGUAAGUAUGAAGGAAUACUGUCAUCACUAGGGUAGGAACGGUAAGUAUGAAGGAAUACUGUCAUCACUAGCGUAGGAACGGUAAGUAUGAAGGAAUACUGUCAUCACUAGCGUAGGAACGGUAAGUAUGAAGGAAUACUGUCAUCACUAGAGUAGGAACGGUAAGAAUGAAGGAAUACUGUCAUCACUAGGGUAGGAACGGUAAGUAUGAAGGAAUACUGUCAUCACUAGCGUAGGAACGGUAAGUAUGAAGGAAUACUGUCAUCACUAGCGUAGGAACGGUAAGUAUGAAGGAAUACUGUCAUCACUAGAGUAGGAACGAUAAGUAUGAAGGAACGCUGUCAUCACUAGCGUAGGAACGGUAAGUAUGAAGGAACGCUGUCAUCACUAGAGUAGGAACGGUAAGUAUGAAGGAAUACUGUCAUCACUAGAGUAGGAACGAUAAGUAUGAAGGAACGCUGUCAUCACUAGAAUAGGAACGAUAAGUAUGAAGGAACGCUGUCAUCACUAGAGUAGGAACGGUAAGUAUGAAGGAAUACUGUCAUCACUAGGAUAGGAACGGUAAGUAUGAAGGAAUACUGUCAUCACUAGAGUAGGAACGGUAAGUAUGAAGGAAUACUGUCAUCACUAGGAUAGGAACGGUAAGUAUGAAGGAAUACUGUCAUCACUAGGAUAGGAACGGUAAGUAUGAAGGCUUUACAGAACGACCUACAGUAUAAUCACCACAACGUUAAAGCAUACUUGUAAUCCUCACAAAUGUCUGUCAAAUUAUCCAAGGUUAAGAGAAUGAUAGUGAAGACAUCAGAACUAUGAACUAAGGUGGUUAAGAGAAUGAUAGUGAAGACAUCAGAACUAUGAACUAAGGUGGUUAAGAGAAUGAUAGUGAAGACAUCAGAACUAUGAACUAAGGUGGUUAAGAGAAUGAUAGUGAAGACAUCAGAACUAUGAACUAAGGUGGUUAAGAGAAUGAUAGUGAAGACAUCAGAACUAUGAACUAAGGUGGUUAAGAGAAUGCCAAGAGUGUGCAAAGCUGUCAUCAAGGCAAACAGUGGCUAUUUGAAGAAUCUCAAAUAUGAAAUAUUUAUUAUCCAAGUACCGUCGAGCGCAUCAUUGUUAGUAACAUGAACAUGUACCUAUACUAGAGUUACUACGGUGUAAUUUAUGAAUGAAGUAAUAGUAGCAAUAGAACAUAGCUGUACGAGCCAUUUUGGACUGUUUAUGAGUUGUGGAAAUGGUCUUUGUCAAAGGUUAUUUUUUACUUGUUUUGUACACUAGAGGGCACUAUAUGUUGGGGUCAUGGGUCACUGUUCACGUGUGUGUGUGGGGGUAGCACAGGUGACUAGGAAGGGUCAGCACAGGUGACUAGGAAGGGUCAGCACAGGUGACUAGGAAGGGUCAGCACAGGUGACUAGGAAGGGUCAGCACAGGUGACUAGGAAGGGUCAGCACAGGUGACUAGGAAGGGUCAGCACAGGUGACUAGGAAGGGUCAGCACAGGUGACUAGGAAGGGUCAGCACAGGUGACUAGGAAGGGUCAGCACAGGUGACUAGGAAGGGUCAGCACAGGUGACUAGGAUGGGUCAGCACAGGUGACUAGGAAGGGUCAGCACAGGUGACUAGUAAGGGUCAGCACAGGUGACUAGGAAGGGUCAGCACAGGUGACUAGGAAGGGUCAGCACAGGUGACUAGGAAGGGUCAGCACAGGUGACUAGGAUGGGUCAGCACAGGUGACUAGGAUGGGUCAGCACAGGUGACUAGGAUGGGUCAGCACAGGUGACUAGGAUGGGUCAGCACAGGUGACUAGGAUGGUUCAGCACAGGUGACUAGGAUGGGUCAGCACAGGUGACUAGGAAGGGUCAGCACAGGUGACUAGGAUGGGUCAGCACAGGUGACUAGGAUGGGUCAGCACAGGUGACUAGGAUGGGUCAGCACAGGUGACUAGGAAGGGUCAGCACAGGUGACUAGGAAGGGUCAGCACUGGUGACUAGGAAGGGUCAGCACAGGUGACUAGGAUGGGUCAGCACAGGUGACUAGGAUGGGUCAGCACAGGUGACUAGGAAGGGUCAGCACAGGUGACUAGGAUGGGUCAGCACAGGUGACUAGGAAGGGUCAGCACAGGUGACUAGGAAGGGUCAGCACAGGUGACUAGGAUGGGUCAGCACAGGUGACUAGGAUGGGUCAGCACAGGUGACUAGGAUGGGUCAGCACAGGUGACUAGGAUGGGUCAGCACAGGUGACUAGGAUGGGUCAGCACAGGUGACUAGGAUGGGUCAGCACAGGUGACUAGGAUGGUUCAGCACAGGUGACUAGGAUGGGUCAGCACAGGUGACUAGGAUGGGUCAGCACAGGUGACU